GCGCGUGUGGCGGAAUUGGCAGACGCACUAGACUUAGGAUCUAGCGUCUCACGACGUGGGGGUUCAAGUCCCUCCACGCGCA
Paenibacillus sp. is the source of this 82-nucleotide transfer RNA. It matches the Rfam family "tRNA". From Rfam's summary of the family: Transfer RNA (tRNA) molecules are approximately 80 nucleotides in length. Lineage: Bacteria; Bacillati; Bacillota; Bacilli; Caryophanales; Paenibacillaceae. The record is from Rfam.